Molecule: ribosomal RNA, 433 nt
Filed under: uncultured bacterium
Lineage: Bacteria
Description: partial 16S ribosomal RNA
Rfam family: Bacterial small subunit ribosomal RNA
Source: RNAcentral
AAUGAACGCUGGCGGCAGGCCUAACACAUGCCAGUCGAGCGAAGUCUUCGGACUUAGCGGCGGACGGGUGAGUAACGCGUGGGAACAUGCCCUUUGGUGCGGAAUCGCCCCGGGAAACUGGGAGUAAUACCGCAUGUGCCCUUCGGGGGAAAGAUUUAUCGCGAAAGGAUUGGCCCGCGUUGGAUUAGGUAGUUGGUGGGGUAAUGGCCUACCCAGCCGACGAUCCAUAGCUGGUUUGAGAGGAUGAUCAGCCACACUGGGACUGAGACACGGCCCAGACUCCUACGGGAGGGAGGAGUGGGGAAUCUUAGACAAUGGGCGCAAGCCUGAUCGAGCCAUGCCGCGGGAUCGAUGAAGGCCUUAGGGUUGUAAAGAUCUUUCAGUGGAGAAGAUAAUGACGGUACCCACAGAAGAAGCCCCGGCUAACUCCGUG